This 274-nucleotide long non-coding RNA is filed under the name Lathyrus oleraceus (garden pea). RNAcentral's name for it is "Pisum sativum (pea) long non-coding RNA (PSAT_LNC033531)". Lineage: Eukaryota; Viridiplantae; Streptophyta; Magnoliopsida; Fabales; Fabaceae. The record is from RNAcentral.
UCAUGCUCGCUAGGCGAAGCCCACGUGUUAUGCAAACAAAAAAAAACAAAAAAAAAUAAUUAAUUAAAUAAAUAAAUAACUAAAUAAAUAAAAUAUAAUAGAAAAAUCAUGGACUUGGACCUCUCUCAUUUGAGCCCACAAAGCCAUGAAAAUCAGGUUAUAAAAGAGGGAGAACAGACAGAAAAAGGAAGAGAAGCAAAACACUCUGAGGUUUCCUUGGAACAAAACACUGGACAAAACCUGGAGAGAAACCUAGACAGAGAGAGUGAAAAUU